This 70-nucleotide transfer RNA is filed under the name Phoca groenlandica (harp seal). RNAcentral describes it as "tRNA-Lys". Lineage: Eukaryota; Metazoa; Chordata; Mammalia; Carnivora; Phocidae. The record is from RNAcentral.
CAUUGAGAAGCUAUACUAGCGUUAACCUUUUAAGUUAAAGACUGAGAGUACUCUAACCUCUCCUUAAUGA